RNAcentral lists this ribosomal RNA (374 nucleotides) under uncultured organism. RNAcentral describes it as "bacterial SSU rRNA". It matches the Rfam family "Bacterial small subunit ribosomal RNA", at positions 526 to 896 of the family's 1533-position model. The record is from RNAcentral.
CGGGGGGAGCUAGCGUUGUUCGGAUUUACUGGGCGUAAAGGGCGCGUAGGCGGCCACUGCAAGUCGGUUGUGAAAUCUCCGGGCUUAACCCGGAAAGGUCAAUCGAUACUGCAGGGCUAGAGUGCAGAAGGGGCAACUGGAAUUCUCGGUGUAGCGGUGAAAUGCGUAGAUAUCGAGAGGAACACCUGCGGCGAAGGCGGGUUGCUGGGCUGACACUGACGCUGAAGCGCGAAAGCUAGGGGAGCGAACGGGAUUAGAUACCCCGGUAGUCCUAGCCUUAAACGAUGAAUGCUUGGUGUCUGGGGUUUUAUAGUCCCCGGGUGCCGUCGCUAACGCUUUAAGCAUUCCGCCUGGGGAGUACGGUCGCAAGACUG